This 1412-nucleotide long non-coding RNA is filed under the name Olea europaea subsp. europaea. The record is from RNAcentral. Lineage: Eukaryota; Viridiplantae; Streptophyta; Magnoliopsida; Lamiales; Oleaceae.
AAAUAAUAAUAAUAAUAAUUUCAAUAACUAAUUCUUCGGUUGACACUAGUUGAUUGUUGAUUAUUGAUCUCAGUAGUGCACUUUACGUAGUCGUGUUACCGUGUAUGCAAUUGCGUAGUGGUCGCGUUACUGCCUCUAGUUCUAGUAACCUUACCAUGGACCCCGCCCAAAUUGAGGCCCUCACCAGACAGCUUGCACAAUUACAAAAUCAACUAAUAGCUGUCCAAACUGAGGUAGCCGCUACUCGUGAAGAGAAUAGAGCCCUAACCGCUAGGUUGAAUACUCUUGACCCAAUCCCAUAUUCGACUGAGGCUGAGAACCCUGAGGCUUCCAUUAAUAGGCCUCAUCGUCGCCCACAAGGUGGUCGACACCACGCCCGACAUGGUCGUAGGGAAGGGAAUCAGGCUCGGGAACGAGAGCGGGGGUAUUACCGUCAUGGUACACAAUCUCCCCCUCGCCACGAGGAGCGCCUCUUUCGAAACAUUAAGUUGGAUGCCCCUACGUUUGACGGUUGUCUAGAUCCUAGUGCAUUCAAUCAAUGGGUUAGAGAUAUGGAUCGCUUCUUUGCAUGGUAUGGGGUUCCGGAAGAUCGGAGGGUACAAUUUGCCAGUUUAAAGUUAACUGGCACUGCUCAACUCUUUUGGGAGAGUGUUGAGGACCUCCUUGAAAGGCGUCAUGCUCCCCCUGUUGGGAGUUGGGAUGAAAUGAAGCGCCGCCUUCAAGAAAAAUAUUUACCCCAAUCUUAUAGGGGUAACUUGCUGGAUCAAUGGAACGCACUUACACAAGGCAAUCGACCUGUAACCGAAUAUGUCGCUCAGUUUGAUGAGUUUCGAAUGAAAUGUCAGGUUGUUGAGGAUGAAGUUAUGACUUUGAGUAGGUUUAGGCAAGGUUUAAGAGACGAACUUAGGCGCGAGCUUGUCCUUAGGGGUGUCACCACUCUCGACCACGCCUACUCUUUCGUUCGGGAUUAUGAAUUAGUGACUAGGACACCGUAUAGAAAUCGUAGUGACUCCCGCACCACAACCUCAUCCGCAUCCACGCCGUCCCCUAAGUCUAUUUUAGGUCCUCCUCCCUCUAAUACUACCCCUGCAUCGGAUAGCAAAGGUAGAGGUUCUGAGGUUUCAAGGUCAUCCUCCCGUUUGCAAUGUUUCAACUGUAAGGGUUUUGGUCACAUUGCUUCUAAGUGCCCCAGUCGAGCCCUAGUUCUGGACGAACGUGAGGAUAUAGUCGUCGAACCACUAGAGGAUCAGGUUUAUGAGCCUAAGUUAGAAGAGUUUGAAGACUUGGAGGACAGUGAGGAUACCUUCUUAGGUUGUAUUCAGGCUAGUCCCAUUAUCCCACAUACACCCAGAGUCGGUGUCGUCCGUUGCACCUUCACCCAGCCUAAGGAUGCCGACGAUUGACGCCGUCAU